This 492-nucleotide ribosomal RNA is filed under the name uncultured bacterium. RNAcentral describes it as "partial 16S ribosomal RNA". It matches the Rfam family "Bacterial small subunit ribosomal RNA", at positions 29 to 507 of the family's 1533-position model. The record is from RNAcentral.
AGUGAACGCUGGCGGUAGGCCUAACACAUGCAAGUCGAACGGCAGCACAGUAAGAGCUUGCUCUUACGGGUGGCGAGUGGCGGACGGGUGAGGAAUACAUCGGAAUCUACUUUUUCGUGGGGGAUAACGUAGGGAAACUUACGCUAAUACCGCAUACGACCUACGGGUGAAAGCAGGGGAUCUUCGGACCUUGCGCGAUUGAAUGAGCCGAUGUCGGAUUAGCUAGUUGGCGGGGUAAAGGCCCACCAAGGCGACGAUCCGUAGCUGGUCUGAGAGGAUGAUCAGCCACACUGGAGCGGAGACACGGUCCAGACUCCUACGGGAGGCAGCAGUGGGGAAUAUUGGACAAUGGGCGGAAGUCUGAUCCAGCCAUACCGCGUGGGUGAAGAAGGCCUUCGGGUUGUAAAGCCCUUUUGUUGGGAAAGAAAAGCAGCAGGUUAAUACCCCGCUGUUCUGACGGUACCCAAAGAAUAAGCACCGGCUAACUUCGUG